UUUCUAAUUGAAUCAGCCGUUUUGAACAAAUUGUUUGAUUUGAAUGAUUCAAUAAAUCAUUUAUUAAAACAGGGAGUUGCUGCCACCUACCUGGUGGUUUUAUUGUCAUAUCUAUUCAUCCAUGCCAAGCCUAAUAAAAUAUUGUUUAAUUAUCAAUAUAUACCUCCAUUUCAGGCCCCAGAAGGACAACCGCUUAUAAAUAUUAGUUCAUUCAAAAAAACUAAUUUUAACCCCUCGCUCCACCAAAGAAAUUGACCACACCAUCCCCCUGAAUUUUUUUUUUUUUUUUACAAUUCGACCACUGACUGUGAGCAUGCAUACAUAAGCAGGUGAGCACAAACAGGUGUGUGAUAGAGUUCACAGGAGCAGAAAGAAAGAGAGAGUGACUGUAAAUGGAACAGCACCUUGCUGUGAUUUGAGCUCAAUCACCCUCACAGAGUGCAAAUAUCUUGCCUGCAGAGUCCUUCAAGCUGCCUGAACAUCACCUAACAUUAUGCUCUUAAACUACAUGCAGCACUGCAUUAAAAAAAGCAAGCAGGUCUAGUGUUUCCUAAAAUAUUUAUUUUCCCUGAUAUUCCCCUUUAUUUCCACAUCAUAAUCAUAGUGAAAUGUACAUGGUGAUUCACAGUACAACAGAAGUUUCUUUAAAGGAAUAGUUCGCCCCAAAAAUCAAAAUUUGCUGACAUUUUCUCAUCCUAAACCCAUCCAACACAUAGAUGAGUUUGUUUCUGUAUGGGAACAGAUUUUGAGAAAUUUAGCAUUACAUCACUUGUUCACCAGUGGAUCCUCUGCAGUGAAUGGGUGUUGCAGAAUGAGAGAUUAAACAGAUGAUAAAAACAUCACAAUAACCCACAAGUAAUCCAAGCAGUCCGUCAAUUAACGUCUUGUGAAAGGUAAAAAGCUGUGUUUUUGUAAUAAAAAUUAACCUAACAUUACGUUUUUAUACUGAAAACUGUUGCUUAAUUUCAUGAAGACCCUAAAGAAUCAUACCAACUUGUAGAAAAUAGGCAUCCAGUGUCCCCUUUGACUGAAGAAAGCAUUAUUUUCUAUUAUGGCCACUGGCCAGAAGUGAUGGAUUGAAGUUUGAAAAAAAUAAAAACACAUCCUAAUGAUGAAUUGUUAUUUUGCAUAGUUUUUACCUUUUAAAACAGGCCUAUGACCCAUUUUGCAUCAUCUACUAGUUGAAAACCUUUUUAGACAGCAACAUUCAUCAAAAUGUUUUGUUUUGUGUUCCACAGAACAAUGACAGAAUUUUAAUUUGAUGAAUUUGGUGAUUUAUCCCUUUAACUUGAGAGCAAACAGUAUUUGCUUGCCAC
This is a long non-coding RNA of Cyprinus carpio carpio, 1316 nucleotides long. NCBI's taxonomy places the organism in Eukaryota, Metazoa, Chordata, Actinopteri, Cypriniformes, Cyprinidae. The record is from Ensembl.